CCUACGGGAGGCAGCAGUAGGGAAUAUUGCUCAAUGGGCGAAACCCUGAAGCAGCAACGCAGCGUGGAGGAUGAAGGUUCUCGGAUUGUUAACUCCUUUUGUUAUAGAAGAUAAUGGCUGUAUCUAACGAAUAAGCACCGGCUAACUCCGUGCCAGCAGCCGCGGUAAUACGGAGGGUGCAAGCGUUACUCGGAAUCACUGGGCGUAAAGAGCGCGUAGGCGGGAUAGCAAGUCAGAUGUGAAAUCCUAUGGCUUAACCAUAGAACUGCAUUUGAAACUGUUAGUCUAGAGUAUGGGAGAGGUAGGUGGAAUUCGUGGUGUAGGGGUAAAAUCCGUAGAGAUCAAGAGGAAUACUCAUUGCGAAGGCGAUCUGCUAGAAUAUAACUGACGCUGAUGCGCGAAAGUGUGGGGAGCAAACAGGAUUAGAUACCCUUGUAGUC
Molecule: ribosomal RNA, 440 nt
Filed under: uncultured bacterium
Lineage: Bacteria
Description: partial 16S ribosomal RNA
Rfam family: Bacterial small subunit ribosomal RNA
Source: RNAcentral